This is a non-coding RNA of Podarcis lilfordi (Lilford's wall lizard), 74 nucleotides long. NCBI's taxonomy places the organism in Eukaryota, Metazoa, Chordata, Lepidosauria, Squamata, Lacertidae. The record is from the annotation of a GenBank genome assembly.
GGCUCUGUAGCUCAGUUGGUUGGAGUCUGGUGCUGAUAACACCAAAGUUGCAGGUUCAAUCUCCGUAUGGGACA